AGAGCACCAUGCUUGCUGGUUUAUAUGGAAGAUAACUGGUAGCUGAAAGCAGGAUGACUUAGGCUUUGAAUGGGUCCUAUGGGUGCCGCCCUGUCGGGGACACACAGGAGGCGGCGGCCGGCCGCCAGGUGGCGCUGCGGGGUCGGGCCAGUCCGGGCGCGGCGUCUCUCCCUAGCGGCGCCCCCUCUCGGCCGCUCUCGGCGCAUUCCCCGCGGCGCUCCGGUCCCUGCUCCGCUGCUCCCGAGAGCGCUCCGCUGCAGCCGCCACACUCCUGAGGCCGAGGGCAGCCCUGCCUGGACCUCUCCCCAGCGCUCCGGUCCCGGAGGAAGGAAAAGGAAGAGAGACAUUUUCUCUCUUUUUAUUUAUUUGGUUUUUUUUCCCCUUUGGUGAACUCAGUGAAGUUCGGACAACUGGCCGUCUUCCUCCCCGCUGCCGGAGGGGGAAACCUCUGUGGCGGAGGGGUACGGAGGGGGGAAAACAACAACAACAACAGCGAAAACCUUAACCCGACACAGCUCUUACACCCACAGCCCCUCAACCGCUUCGAGUCCUGGUAGCCGUCAUCUGCGGGUACCAGUGCCAGUCAGCUCCUCCGAGCAGCAGGGGAAGCUCCGUGCCCUCAUUAGGCGGUGCCGCCGGGCAGCAGCCGAGAUUCCCUGCUCCCCGGCGUAGGUCUCGGAGGAGGCAAAGCAGAGGGAGGAUCCGCUAGGAUCCAGGUAGAUCCAGCUUUUACCGCUUACCGAAAGCUACCACCAGCAGGACCUCCGUCUCCUCCCUCCCUCCUCCCCUAACUCCCCCCCUCCCCUGCCCCUCCGCGAUGAGAGACGGGCCAAGUCCGUGCGCGCCAGCAGCGCUCGCUGCCAGGGGCGGACGGAUCGCUUUCAUGUCACAGGGUGUCUGCUAGCCCUGCGGAGGCUCCCCCGGCCGGGCCGGGGUGGGGCGGCGGCGGGUGGCAGCUGCCCCGAGGCCGGGGUGACUGCCGGCCUCGCGGAAUGCUGGCGGCGGGGGAUGCGGAGCCGGCUGUGGACUAACAUGGGGGGCAGCCACUCCCACAGGGCGCCCGUGUUCGACGAGAACGAGGACGGUGAGUGUGGAGCUGUCCAAGGUACCCGCCGCGCCCGCGAGCCCCGUAGUUCCCGACGCUGGCUCAGCCCCGGGGCCGCAGGCAGCAGCUCGCCCUCAGCCAGGUGUCAGCAGCUUCCUCAGUACCCCCGGGGAGGUAUUUUGGAUAGAUUCUCCAUCCGGCUGCUUUCUGUGGGGUAGGGUCCCUGGGGAAGGAGGAGGACAAGCCCACCUUUGUCUAGCUGUUCUCACUAAUUACGUAGUUCUUUGCUUUUAUACAAGCUAAACCGAAGUCUAGGACACCGCCGCUUGGGUUUUAAACACAUGGCCAGAUAACUUCAUGUGUGUGUAUGCGAACUGGCAUUAUUUUGGAAAUGAAUGCCUGCUUUUCUCCUUUCAUUUGUAGUUGACUCUUUGCCCAUUAGCCUACUUCAGAUCUUUCAGUCAAUAUACUUCUUUCUCCACCUUUACUUUCUGAAACUUUUCUUGAAGUUGUACUAUUACUUUGAGAUUUUUUUCCCUGACUAGGUAGUAUGUCAGAAGAAACUGUAUCCAGCAAAGUUUUUGGAAUACAAACAGAAGUUUGUAGAAAAUGUGGUGGUUUUUUUUUUUCCCACUUUUUUAUGUAUUUCCAUGUCACUUUUAUAUAUAGACCAUGGUUAGCUGGAAUUAUACUACUCUUUCAAUUUCAGUCAUUCUGGCUUUUAAAGCGAAGAGAACACCUCACAUUUAGGAAGCAGGUAUUUGUAUACCAGAAAAAAAUGUUACUUAUGGGAUACAUGUUGCUGCAUAACUGGAUAAUUGAUACUUCAUUUUGGAUAUACUUCUUUCAACAUAGUUCCCAAAAUAUUUUAUUGAGAAAUGCUUGUGCCUCAACAGACUUUGCUUUGCCUUUCUGAGGUUCAUAACAAAUCAGAAGCGUUUAUGCUCUUUCCUAUCCAUUUGGGACACAUGGAGACGUUUGCAUUGCUUUGCUAA
Molecule: long non-coding RNA, 2040 nt
Organism: Numida meleagris (helmeted guineafowl)
Lineage: Eukaryota; Metazoa; Chordata; Aves; Galliformes; Numididae
Exons: 3
Source: RefSeq, a predicted model, not a curated record